UUAUGGCAAGGAUGAUGAAAACAAAUUAGAUGUGUAAGGGGUGUAUUCCUCUAUGAGCUUAACAUCGAGGCAUAUUUAUAUUCCAACGUGCCUUUA
This is a non-coding RNA of Nicotiana sylvestris (wood tobacco), 96 nucleotides long. Lineage: Eukaryota; Viridiplantae; Streptophyta; Magnoliopsida; Solanales; Solanaceae. The record is from Rfam.